GUAAAGCACAGGAGGGACCAGACUGAUAAUAAGCAAAGUGCUCAAAUAUGGGAAGUUGGGGAAGAAGCCAAAUGAAAAUGAAAUGAAAGGCUAAGGUCCAACUUCGGCAGUUGUGUAGGAAGGAGGGGACGGCUGGUAAUAGGAACACCGGGUCAAAACCCCGCUCGGGAGGCUGGAGGAACCUGUGGGAAAGACAAGGGAGGGGGUGGGAAGGGAUUUUACCAAAAAGCGAGUCAGCAAAUUGGAUCUGCUGCUGCCACAGAGGCUUACAUGUCUCCCUGUGACCUCACGAGCUCAGAGAGCAGCAAGGGCCUCCUCGGCAGACCUUUGCAUGGGGGGAACACUUCCCACCAGCUUUCCAGCACCGAGAGCAAAGUCUGAAGCCUGUGCCUCUGCCUUUGCAGCCCUUCUCAGCCCGGGACGUCUGUGAGAGCUCAAGAGAAGAAGAGCAACUUCUGCCUGGAGAUGGCCUCCACAAAGACCUCCUGAAGGCUUCAGCUGGCCCUGCUCACCCGCUGGUGCCUCCAGAAGUAUUUCUGGCCACGUGGCAGCCUUGGAUCUGGGAUAAGAGGUUGGACUCGAUGAUCUUGAGGUCUCUUCCAACCUAGAAAUUCUGUGAUUCUGUGAUAAUGCAGAGAGGGGCUGGCAAAGUCCUUCACCUCUUUGCGUGCUGUGACACCGUGACAAAUAGACCUGAAUUGCGGUCUCCGUGGCCUUGGGAUCUCUGCUGGCUUCCCUUGCCCUGAGGACGUAUGGUUUGGGCUGCAAAAUCAGGUGUGGGACCAUCUGGUUCCAUGUGGGGUCACCCCAGCUAGAGCAUCCCUGGGUUUUAGGUUGUGGCAGAGGAGCAGGAGGUGAGGAGAUGCUGUGGGUAUAUCCUCGGCCUUGCCCUGCUGCCCCAGCAAACCCCAGCUCUUUGUGUCCCUGAGGGUCCCUUGUGGCUGGGGACAAGCUGGUGGCUGUGCUUUUGGGGUGGCUGUGCUUCAGGGGUGGCUGUGCUUCAGGG
This 1006-nucleotide long non-coding RNA is filed under the name Cairina moschata (Muscovy duck). RNAcentral describes it as "domestica (muscovy Duck (domestic type)) lncRNA (ENSCMMG00000003697.1)". Lineage: Eukaryota; Metazoa; Chordata; Aves; Anseriformes; Anatidae. The record is from RNAcentral.